This 490-nucleotide ribosomal RNA is filed under the name uncultured bacterium. Its description in RNAcentral is "partial 16S ribosomal RNA". It matches the Rfam family "Bacterial small subunit ribosomal RNA", at positions 29 to 506 of the family's 1533-position model. The record is from RNAcentral.
GUGCACGCUGGCGGUAGGCCUAACCCCUGCCAGCCGAACGGCAGCACAGUAAGAGCUUGCUCUUACGGGUGGCGAGUGGCGGACGGGUGAGGAAUACAUCGGAAUCUACUUUUUCGUGGGGGAUAACGUAGGGAAACUUACGCUAAUACCGCAUACGACCUACGGGUGAAAGCAGGGGAUCUUCGGACCUUGCGCGAUUGAAUGAGCCGAUGUCGGAUUAGCUAGUUGGCGGGGUAAAGGCCCACCAAGGCGACGAUCCGUAGCUGGUCUGAGAGGAUGAUCAGCCACACUGGAACUGAGACACGGUCCAGACUCCUACGGGAGGCAGCAGUGGGGAAUAUUGGACAAGGGGCGCAAGCCUGAUCCAGCCAUACCGCGUGGGUGAAGAAGGCCUUCGGGUUGUAAAGCCCUUUUGUUGGGAAAGAAAAGCAGCAGGUUAAUACCCCGCUGUUCUGACGGUACCCAAAGAAUAAGCACCGGCUAACUUCGU